GCCAUGGUUCAUCUGUCUUCAUCUCAAAUUAAGGAUAAGUUGUUGGAAAUUAUGGCUGGUACUGUGAAGUGUGUGGCCACUUCUCAGUAGGCCUUAGGUUUUUUUGGUGGUACUGUGAAUAUAUUUAGUUCCAAAGUACUAUAAUGGGCAACGAAGAUAGCACCUAGAUCUGCAGGCAAUGCUGAAGAGGUUCUUGUGUAAUAUUUUUGAAAGCAUUUUAACAUUGAAAAAUAGUAACCAAAUUUUGAAUUGUCUUGAGCGUGAGCUGUCCAGCAUGUUGGACUGAUCCCAUUAAUCUUUUGGCUAUCACAUUUCCGUAGGAGUUCGUGUUCAGAUGAUUGUCUACCCUGAUUUGUGUUUCAAGUUUGUCCUUCCCAGGGGUAUGUCCUCCAUUUCCUAAGUGUAACCUACAUUCUUGAGAUCAAAUAUAGAGAGCAUUCAUUGCUUGUGUGCACCUGCUGGCAGACAACAUCAUAUUUCAGUAAGUGAUGUAACGAGGUAAGUGCUAUCUAAUUGUACCUGUUGUGUUUGUUUGCUGUGUCUUAAUGUAUACCAUGAAAUUUACACCACUAAGCAGGCAUAUUUGCUUCAUGUGUCCUCCACAAUUCUUGAUGUUGUACUUCCGCAGUUACUUCAGAUGAUAAACUUUGGCAUGUUCAGUUGUUUUUAUUCAUUUCCUAUACUUCAAAUGAAUUACAUUGCAUCUAAUGUCUCAGUUAAAACUAAUGCUUAGCUGUCGAUUUAAGUGUUGUGUUUGCUUGUUGUUUUUUUUUACUAUGAAUUUUAGGAGAUCCUGAAUUGUUUUGAAGGAAUAGUCAACUAGGACCUAUUUCUGAAUGGCUGUUUUUUCAGAAAGUACAUUCUUGAUCAAUGAUAUUUUUUUGUGGGUAAGUGUUUGUAAUCUGUUGCUAGAUACUACUGGUGUGUUACCCUUGGAGCUGUGUGACACAUUACAGUGUAGCUGAUGCUAUCACACAGUCUGUUACUGGAAAUAGAAGAAUUUGCAGUGCUGUUCUUCAUUGGUCCUUCUUUUCCUAUUUUAUAAACUAUGAUUUUAAGAACUUUGAUAUAUCUCUGCCUUUGGAGGAGCCAAAUAGUCUGAAUUCUCUAAUUUAAGAGAAUUCAGAAAUAGAGAGAAAUAUUGCUAUUACUAAUAAUCUGUGUUUUUUUCAUUGUUCCAUCUUAAAAAUAGGACCUAAAUAACAUCUCUAAAUGCUUUCUUACCUAAACUAGAACUAUAAUGAAAGCAUUAUAAUCUGGCAUUACUGAAGAAAAGUAAACAGACAAAGAAUACAUCAGUGUCAAUUGCCAUUUGUGUGACAGAUUUGCACCAGCUGCAAUCAUGCUCAUCAACUUAUUAAAAAAUAAAGGUAGGUUAAGCAGAUGAUAGUCUAAUGCUCCAUUAUUUAAGUUUUUUAAAGUAUUUUAAUAUCCUUGUUUGUUCAAGGUGCACAUUUUAUUGGAAUUGCAUUCCUCAAAUCUCUGAUAAAAAUUACCUAAUGAAAAAUGCCUUCAGUCAAGAAGCUUUUGCCUUCGUUCUGGGGAUGAGCAGUUUAACCCUAAUAUUAAGGAAGAGGCCAAGGUUUUCUGUUACGAGUUGUAACCAGAAAACACAGAAGUCUGAGAUACUCCUCAUGAUAGCCACAGUCCAGCAGUCUUGAUGCACGCUAACCUGGACAAACAUAUUACAAAGUGACACCGUUAACAUCUGUGUUUCAGGCUCCCUUCAGGUACUGAAAGGCUGCAAUGAGGUCACCCCGCAGCCUUCUCUUCUCCAGGCUGAAUAAGCCCAGCUCUCUCAGCCUGUCUUUGUAAGGGAGGUGCUGCAGCCCCCUGAUCAUCUUCGUGGCCCUCCUCUGGACCCUCUCCAACAGCUGUCUUUCUUGUACUGGGGGCUCCAUACCUGGACACAGUACUCCAGAUGGGGCCUCAAAAGAGCAGAGUGGAGAAGGACAAUCACCUCCCUGUUCCUGCUGGCCACCCUUCUCAUGAUGGAGCCCAGG
Long non-coding RNA from Gallus gallus (chicken), 2003 nucleotides. The record is from Ensembl. NCBI's taxonomy places the organism in Eukaryota, Metazoa, Chordata, Aves, Galliformes, Phasianidae.